RNAcentral lists this long non-coding RNA (1621 nucleotides) under Amphibalanus amphitrite. RNAcentral's name for it is "uncharacterized LOC122388028". The record is from RNAcentral. Lineage: Eukaryota; Metazoa; Arthropoda; Thecostraca; Balanomorpha; Balanidae.
GUCAUACGUCCGUGCAAAGCGUAUUUCACUGCACAUUAUUUUUCAAACGUAUUCCUGAAUAAUUAGAAAGAGCAAAGCCAAUUCGAAAAUGUUUUUGGAUUAGCUCUCUAGAGUCAUCACAAUUAACAGAAACAAAUGACCCAUGAGCAGCAAAAAUUUACCGUACAAUGUAAAUAUUACCAACCAGUCUCGUUUCUUAUAGGCAUCUUGCUCGUAACCAUGGCAACGAAGAAUUUAUCAAACGCAGGUGGCCGACUUUAUAUGCAUUUAGGGCCUUGGCCGCCGAGAUCGCCGAGAUACAGUGCCCGAUUCAAAUGGUAAGGCAAGUCACCCCUAAACUGGUAUUUGCCCUCGAUACAGUCCUUGUCAAAAUACAGAUAAAUCAGUUUUCGAACUCGCGCGUUACACUUCGCCAUGUUCUGAGCAGGCGCCAAGCAUUUGUAGAUUGCUAAUUUUUCCGAAGCCAGCCCUCGAAGCACUCAUCACGACGUGAAGAACUUGGAAACACAAAUGGCUCAUUAUCGAGAAGAGAAUAUAUGCAACCUCAUUCCGAAGAAAGCACCGCCACCACCAAAACUACUGAAAUAUGUUUCAAAAUUUCAUAAUCAGACCAAACAAGAAAUUGCAAGCAGCCAGAGGCAGCAUGCUCAUUUCGGCUAUCAACAUUACCCCGCAGAUAACCCGUGCGAAUUCCUUCGAAAACAGUCGAAAAAGCCCAUGACGACACCAGCAGGACACCCAAAGCCAAUCGUGAAGGCAGAACGGUUGGUAGACGACAAAAUGCCCGUUUCACUAAAGGAACGAAAGAAAGAAGGGAAGAACUUCUUGGCAAAUAACAAGAAGGAAGUCAAAGAAAAGCAAAACGUUUACGUGCCAGAACGUAAGUAUGUUGAUACCAAGGGAGGCGAUAAGCACACACUUGAGCCAUCCGGUUUAAAGCUAAGAUACGUAUUCAAGAAAGACUUUGGCAAGACACCAAAAUAUUUAGCCAAGCGAGACGUAGAGAUGCGAGAAGCACAGGAACAACGAGAACGCGAAGCGAGAGAAGCAAUAGAAUCUCAAAAGGCGAAGCAAAUAUCCGAAGAAGAGCGCCAAGAGAUGCUGAAAGGCCUGAAAGAAAAUUGGGCAGCUCUGAACAAAGCGUACUCUGCCCAGUCGCUCUGCAUCGACAAUCUACCGAAGCAGUUCCGUAAAGAGAGCCUGGAGCGUCAGAUGGCGGCGCUGGAGAAAGACAUCGAUCUCGUCGAGAGGAACACCGUCAUACUGAUCGCCAGUCCCAGAGGCCACACAACCAACUAGAUCGACAGCGUCCACAAUCCACACUCGUCUCACGUGUUCCCCACCAUUUUAAGUCCCCUGUCUUGUCAAUGAACGGCAAAGUAAGCGACAGAGAGGAUGUUCGCUAAGUGUCAAUACUUUUAGUCCUUGACAGUCCACUGUGUACCUGCAGUGUAUCACAAAACAGCCAAUAUGCUGCUCACAGCCCAGAUGAGACGUCGAAAAAUGUUCAUUUACAGUUCGUGCAUUAGGCUCACCAACUAGCUCAACGACUUCAACUAACUCUCUGACGCAUGUCCUUUGCUGGCACACCCACAGUCGCUGAAUAAAAUGUCCCGUGUCC